Molecule: long non-coding RNA, 1729 nt
Organism: Panicum hallii
Lineage: Eukaryota; Viridiplantae; Streptophyta; Magnoliopsida; Poales; Poaceae
Exons: 3
Source: RefSeq, a predicted model, not a curated record
CCACCCGCCGUCCGCCUGUCGUCCGCCGGCCCCGACUCCUUUCCCCUUGCCACGGCCGCCGCAUCGUCCCCACCUCCCGUGGCCUCCAAUUCAGCUUGCGUGCUGCCGGGGACGCCGCGGCCAGCCACCUCCCUCUCUUCUCCGCUCCCCCACCUCUGCCCUGCUAUCCCCUGUACUUCAACGUGGGUAGCGCUUGAGCCAUGUCCAAUGCAGCAGUUUGCAGUCCAUGCGUUGGACCAUGCCCGUGUGCUGCUCCCCCUCCCCGGAGUGCAAUGAUGGAGGUCACUUCGGAGAGCAGUUUCCACGGCUGCAGGUCAACGCGAUGUCGGCGCAAGCAGCAGCUCCAUCUAUGGCCUCCAGCGGCUGCGCCAUCCCUCCAAGGCUGCAAUGCCCUUUGAAAGCGACCAGCGUGGCCUCCCCUGCCUCCAAGGUGUUCGACAAAAUGUCCAGCCCCUUUACUCCUAUUCUAUGCUACCAACGUUAAAUCUCAGAACUAAAAGCAAUCAUAAUGACGGCCAUGUGCUUUCUAAAGAUCGCAGAGACUAAAGUUUUUCUUUACAGAUGAAGGCGGCUCUGCUUGAUUGCUGCCACUCAUGACCUCGUACUGUUGUCGAGCCAACCUUGAAGGAAGGGUCCGUUAAUCCUGCUGUAUAUGACAUAGGGAGAAUUUGAUAGUGCCUCGUAAUACUUUUGUUAAAUCUGACGAAAAUGAUGUGCUCUCAGAGGAGACACUAAUCCAAGAAGAUCAAUUGCGCUUCAAUAAAUAGGUGUGUAGUGACAAAAUAUAAGCUCUCUAAGCAAAGAUAGCCAGGUUGAGCUUUCGGAAGAUCAGAUUGCGGACAAAGCAACUGCUCAACCCAACUUACACAAAGGACCCUAGAAAAGAUUAAAGAUAAAACUACAACCAGGUCCUCUGAGCCUGCCAAAUACAUCUCCAGGUGCUGAGAACCGUCGCCGCCGCGCAGACGAACGCCGGAACCAGCCAUCAGGGGACAUACACCGAGAUCAGGCAAAGCACCAUAGCCUGCAGGCGUUGGAAGGAGCCGCAGCAGAACCCCAUCAUCGACGAGGUGAAUGUAACUUCGAAAAAACAUCGGCCGGGGAUACACCCCGUGCUCGCCUCACCCUGGAGCUUCUCACACCGCCAGGAGACGGCAAAGGAGGAGAGAAGCUCCACUCGCCUGCAGACCAUAAAUCAUGCAGUCGCCCAUCCGAAGACCUUGCAGCUCGUCGCCGUCACCCCCGCAAGAAGCUAACGAAGUGCCGAGCGACUGACUCCUGUACAGAACCUCAUAAACCCAUCGCCGGCGGUGGAGAAGACGCCGACGAGGCAGGGGAAGGGUCGGAGUACCUUAUUCCCAAGGAGCGACGGUGCCCCCGCCUCACUGCCGCCGUCAUGGAAACCAAACCGUCUGCAGCGUGGAUGUCGCCACCGUCACCGCCGUCACCACCAACGCCCCAUCCGCCGCGCAGGACCAAAAGAACCGGCAGCCACCAAAUCGGCACUCUAGCCGCCACUCUGUUCGCCUCUCUCAACUGUAGCAAGGGAAAGAAGACCCUCAGCUUGCCAGUGACUUUGUGUGGUGUGAGGUCCACGAGGGUUCUAAUUUCAUGAAGACAUGGGGAGAGGUGAAAAUGCAGCGAUAAGCUCUGAUAGUCAUUAUUAGCCAAUGUGCAAAUAUGACCCCACUGCCUAGGUUUAUUAUGUUCCAUGGCAGGUUUAUAGUGU